AAUAAAGUGCCUGAUAAAAAGGACUAUUCUGAUAGGAUAAAUUAUGUAGAAAAUCUACCUUUAUUA
This 66-nucleotide transfer RNA is filed under the name Auzata chinensis. RNAcentral's name for it is "tRNA-Ile". Lineage: Eukaryota; Metazoa; Arthropoda; Insecta; Lepidoptera; Drepanidae. The record is from RNAcentral.